GCGUUAGUUAAUGAACGUUUGAUGAAGAGGGCUUGUGGCAGGUUCAUUCGUCUGUAUAUGCAGAUUUGGAUGGUACUUAAUGUGGAAAGUAUGAAUGGUCAGCAGAAUGUUGUUCUCAAUCACCUUGAUUUCGCCAUACAAAGCCUAAAGGUUAACGUGAGUCCUGCAUCAACCAUGGCAAUUUCAUUCAAGUUGAAAGAUGGGAACAUCAU
Molecule: long non-coding RNA, 212 nt
Organism: Olea europaea var. sylvestris
Lineage: Eukaryota; Viridiplantae; Streptophyta; Magnoliopsida; Lamiales; Oleaceae
Exons: 3
Source: RefSeq, a predicted model, not a curated record